GGAGUAGGUCAAAUGAUCGCCGGCCCCCCCAACGGAGGGCGGGAGGAAAGUCCGGGCUCCACAGGGCUGGAUGCUGGGUAAUUCCCAGUCUCGGCGACGAGGAGGAAAGUGCAACAGAAAGCAGACCGCCCCGCCUUGGCGGGGUAAGGGUGAAACGGUGAGGUAAGAGCUCACCAGUCCCGGUGGCGACAUCGGGAGCUAGGCAAACCCCAUCCGGAGCAAAACCAAAUAGGGGAGUGUUUGAGGGCGGCCCGUCCGAGCUCCCGGGUAGGUUGCUUGAUCCCGCCGGCAACGGCGGGGCUAGAGGAAUGAUCAUUGCCCUUCGGGCCGCAAGCCGGCUCCGAGGGGAACAGAACCCGGCUUAUGAACUGCUCCAGGU
RNAcentral lists this RNase P RNA (379 nucleotides) under Syntrophobacter sp. RNAcentral describes it as "RNase P RNA component class A". It matches the Rfam family "Bacterial RNase P class A". From Rfam's summary of the family: Ribonuclease P (RNase P) is a ubiquitous endoribonuclease, found in archaea, bacteria and eukarya as well as chloroplasts and mitochondria. Its best characterised activity is the generation of mature 5'-ends of tRNAs by cleaving the 5'-leader elements of precursor-tRNAs. Cellular RNase Ps are ribonucleoproteins. Lineage: Bacteria; Pseudomonadati; Thermodesulfobacteriota; Syntrophobacteria; Syntrophobacterales; Syntrophobacteraceae. The record is from RNAcentral.